AUUGAACGCUGGCAGCAUGCCUUACACAUGCAAGUCGAACGGCAGCGGACCUUCGGGUGCCGGCGAGUGGCGAACGGGUGAGUAAUAUAUCGGAACGUACCUUUCAGUGGGGGAUAACGUAGCGAAAGUUACGCUAAUACCGCAUAUUCUGUGAGCAGGAAAGCAGGGGAUCGCAAGACCUUGCGCUGAUUGAGCGGCCGAUAUCAGAUUAGCUAGUUGGUGAGGUAAAGGCUCACCAAGGCGACGAUCUGUAGCGGGUCUGAGAGGAUGAUCCGCCACACUGGAACUGAGACACGGUCCAGACUCCUACGGGAGGCAGCAGUGGGGAAUUUUGGACAAUGGGCGCAAGCCUGAUCCAGCCAUGCCGCGUGAGUGAAGAAGGCCUCGGUU
RNAcentral lists this ribosomal RNA (390 nucleotides) under uncultured bacterium. RNAcentral's name for it is "bacterial SSU rRNA". It matches the Rfam family "Bacterial small subunit ribosomal RNA", at positions 30 to 424 of the family's 1533-position model. The record is from RNAcentral.